This 423-nucleotide ribosomal RNA is filed under the name uncultured bacterium. RNAcentral describes it as "bacterial SSU rRNA". It matches the Rfam family "Bacterial small subunit ribosomal RNA", at positions 356 to 772 of the family's 1533-position model. The record is from RNAcentral.
UUCGAAUCAUUCACAAUGGGCGAAAGCCUGAUGGUGCGACGCCGCGUGAGGGAUGAAGGUCUUCGGAUUGUAAACCUCUGUUACCGGGGAAGAAACGCUUCAAGUUAAUAGUUUGAAGCCUGACUUAACCCGGAGAGGAAGCAGUGGCUAACUCUGUGCCAGCAGCCGCGGUAAUACAGAGGUGGCAAGCGUUGUUCGGAAUUACUGGGCGUAAAGGGCGCGUAGGUGGCCUUUUGAGUCAGACGUGAAAUCCCCCGGCUUAACCUGGGAACUGCGUCUGAUACUGGAAGGCUUGAGUUCGGGAGAGGGAUGUGGAAUUCCAGGUGUAGCGGUGAAAUGCGUAGAUAUCUGGAGGAACACCGGUGGCGAAGGCGGCAUCCUGGACCGAAACUGACACUGAGGCGCGAAAGCCAGGGGAGCAAA